CCUACGGGAGGCAGCAGUAGGGAAUAUUGCUCAAUGGGGGAAACCCUGAAGCAGCAACGCCGCGUGGAGGAUGAAGGUUUUCGGAUUGUAAACUCCUUUUGUUAGAGAAGAUAAUGACGGUAUCUAACGAAUAAGCACCGGCUAAUUCCGUGCCAGCAGCCGCGGUAAUACGGAGGGUGCAAGCGUUACUCGGAAUCACUGGGCGUAAAGAGCGCGUAGGCGGGAUAGCAAGUCAGAUGUGAAAUCCUCUGGGUUAACCAUAGAACUGCAUUGGAAACUGUUAUUCUGGAGUAUGGGGGGGGGGGGGGGGGGGGGGGGGGUAGGGGUAAAAUCCGUAGAGAUCAAGAGGAAUACUCAUUGCGAAGGCGACCUGCUAGAACAUAACUGACGCUGAUGCGCGAAAGCGUGGGGAGCAAACAGGAUUAGAUACCCGAGUAGUC
Molecule: ribosomal RNA, 440 nt
Filed under: uncultured bacterium
Lineage: Bacteria
Description: partial 16S ribosomal RNA
Rfam family: Bacterial small subunit ribosomal RNA
Source: RNAcentral